GGGGAAUAUUGGACAAUGGGCGCAAGCCUGAUCCAGCAAUGCCGCGUGGGUGAAGAAGGCCUUCGGGUUGUAAAGCCCUUUUGUACGGGAAGAAAUCCUGUCGGUUAAUACCCGGCGGGGAUGACGGUACCGUAAGAAUAAGCACCGGCUAACUUCGUGCCAGCAGCCGCGGUAAUACGAAGGGUGCAAGCGUUAAUCGGAAUUACUGGGCGUAAAGGGCGCGUAGGCGGCCUUGAUAGUUGGGCGUGAAAGGCCUGGGCUCAACCCGGGAACUGCGUUCAAUACUGUAAGGCUAGAGUGUGGGAGAGGUUGGUGGAAUUCCCAGUGUAGAGGUGAAAUUCGUAGAUAUUGGGAAGAACACCGGUGGCGAAGGCGGCCAACUGGACCACAACUGACGCUGAGGUGCGAAAGCGUGGGGAGCAAA
RNAcentral lists this ribosomal RNA (424 nucleotides) under uncultured bacterium. RNAcentral's name for it is "bacterial SSU rRNA". It matches the Rfam family "Bacterial small subunit ribosomal RNA", at positions 356 to 772 of the family's 1533-position model. The record is from RNAcentral.